Non-coding RNA from Microcebus murinus (gray mouse lemur), 3087 nucleotides. The record is from RefSeq and is a predicted model, not a curated record. Lineage: Eukaryota; Metazoa; Chordata; Mammalia; Primates; Cheirogaleidae.
GCCCCGGCAGCUGCCCGAGACCAGGCUUCUCCAGCCACUCCUCCUGCAGGAAGCUGUCCCCCGGCCCCACCCAGCGAAGGAGGGGCCCCCUCCCGCCAGCCCUCCACCUGCCCAAGGCCUGGGAGUCUCCAGUGAAUGCUCAAGUGGGAAUCCCAACGAGGUGUCUGGGAGCCUGCGGGCCGCACGCAAACCCACCAACCCAACCCCAUCCUGAUAAACAGUUUCCAAGCAGUUGGUUUCGUUUUGGGGGCAGGCUGGUGACAGCCCAUCCCCACCUGGGCCCCGUUCCAAACUCCAGGACAAGCCCAGGCAGGGGGAUGGGGUUGAAGAGGGUCGGCUCAGCGUCUCAGGGCCAGGGUGCUGCAGGGAACCACAAACAAACUGUAAAGUGCUGUCUUGCUUUGUGAAUUACCAUGUGUCCCACCCAGCUUCCAGCCUGGUGGUCUGUGGUCCUGGGCAGUGCAGACAGACUGGUUACAACAGUACAAUCUCUUUAUUGUUAUAUUUGCCCAGAAGGUUCACCCCACGUUGUCCUUUUCAAUCCUGGGCCCAGAGGUGCAUGGAGCAGGAAGAAAUAUCUCCGUUUUUCAGAGGAGAAAAGUAAGGCCCAGAAGGCGAGGUGACAGCCCGGGUGACAAAGCUGCCCAGCCCCAUUGGACAGAUGAGCGGGUCGAGGCAGGAGACAUGGACCCGCCUGAGGCAACAGGGAAGCAACACAGAGGCAGGUGCAACCCAUCUCCCUGGUCCCCCCCCACCGGCUGGACACCGAGCCCCUCCUCGAACUUGGUAACUGAAGUUUGUGGCCAGCUCCCAGGCUCGGCACAGGGUCUGGCACAGAGUCCGGGGGACCUAGUGGGACCCGCCGAUGCCUGGCUCCAGCCAAGGAAGACAGGAACUUUCCUUGAAGAGUAAACAGAACCUGUGGCCUGGCCACGGGGCCCCCGGGGGCCUCUGAUCCCGCCGCUGUGAGGCUCUGAGGUCCCCCCGAGCGCCCAAGUGCGGAAACACCUGCAGGCCCCAGGACGAGGCGGCAGGCGUGUGGGAGAACCUCAGGUCAGGUGCUUCCCAGCGGGGACAACGCUGUCCCCGCAGCCGCGGCCUGGCCAGAGCGGGAACCAGCUGAGUGAGGGUCCAGGGCUGGAGGGAGGGUGCCCACUGCUGGGCCUGGGUGGGAGGGGGCUCCAGGCCAGAGGCAGCCAGUGGGGCAGCCCCUGGCCGGGCCACAGUGGCUACGGGAGGAAGGUGCAGACAGGCUUUGGGCCAAGGGUCUGUCCCGGCCCCGGGGUCACCAGCUGUAUGUAGGGGCUUCACCACAGACCAUGCAGCUCAGGAGAGCUCAGGAACUGUGUUACUCCUGCACCAGACGGCCAGGCGGGCGGCCGGCUGGCCUAGCCAUCGGGCUCCUGCAGGGGUCUGAGGAAGGAGACCCGGAAGCCUGGACUCUCCUGGCUCUGCCCCCAACCCCUCGUGUAGCCUUGAAUGCCGUCCUUCCCUCCUGGCCUCAGUUUCCCAGUGGUCUUGCUUAGCCUCCAGUGGGACUGCUGUGGGGCAAAAGGAGAAGAUGAACUACCAGUUGCCUUAUAACCAAUAAACCUCUGGCAGAGUGCUAACAGCUUCGGGUGUGGCUGCACCCAGGGGCUCCGGCAGCGUUUAGUUUCUGGGUUUGAAGCCAGCUUGGGACGUUUGUAACCCAAACCAGUCCCCUCUGGUUGUGUUGUGUGUGUUCCUCUCCUUGGAAAGGCCGGGCACUGGGCUUGGGUUCGGAGACCUGGACACUCCGGCGGCCCAAAGAUGCCGUGUGCCAUGGUCUCUUCUGUGUUAAUUCAAGUUCCAGUGCCGUCACCUUCGAGCAGUUUUUGCCCCGACAGGACGAGAGGAUCUGUCUGUAGCCUGAAGCAGACUCGUCCAGGCAGACACAGGCCGUGCAUGCUCCACCCUGCACCUGAACAGACGUGAACACGGCCCCUGGUUGCGUCGUCUCCCCUGGAGAGAGAGCAGCCGCAGCCACGUGCCGGCAGAUCUCUGCUCCCGUGUCACCUGCUCGAGGAGCCUCCUGCCUGGACCCCACCAAGACGAGGCCUAGCACCUGCCUCCCUGACCCCAUAACCCGCACGGCCCCCCACCAGGACAGGCCUGUGGACGCACCUGGUCACCAUCUCCCUCCUCCCACCUGUACCCUGCACAGCAGGGGGAGGGCUCAAGAAAUAGAUCCUGAGUUCCUGGGAGAUCCUGUCACCUGUCCCCACCAGGGCACCCUCCCUGCCCCCUGCCCUGCUUCCAUUAAAACCUGCCUCCUUAAAACCUAAGACGAUGGUGCCACUUCCCGGCUUCUACCCUCUAGAACGGCCUUAACCAGUCUCUUUCCCUAGUCUGUGCCCAGGCUGGGGCAGCUGGGCUGGGGUCCAGGCUCCAUGAUGGGAGAGGUGGGGCCCAAGGCUGUUAGCACAGGCACCUGGCCUGUCACUGCUGACCAACAGGUGGGCAGACAGACGAAGGGACCGGUGACAACAGGCUGUGUGACAUGCCCAGUGCUGCCUCUGUCUCGGUCAGGGUCCCUGGGACCAGCCUUGGGGGGGACAAAGCCCCCGGCCCACCUCUCCCACCUGGGCUUCACAGAGCCCCCCAUCCCCCGUGCGGUUCUAAGUGAGCAGCAGGUGUCAUUACAGCCAUGCUCUGAAGAAAGGACAGACCCCUCUGUGGGGACCAAAGAGUGGAGACACUGGCACAUUCCAUGAGGCCCUUCAGACCCCGAAGGCCACAGCAACCCUGCGGCGGCUGAAGUGUCCUUCGGGGACAGGCGGCGGGCGGCUCUGCGAGCCGGGAAGCGCGGCCACGUUGAAGACUCCGGCGUUGCUCCCUGCUGAUGCUAGAAGGUUCUUGCGAGGGCCAGGCGGCUGCAGACCCAUUGCUUGUCCCAGAAGCUCUGUGGCUCUCGCACGUUCACCGGGCAUUGCCACCAACGCGCCUGUUUUUAUUUAAAUGGCCCGGAGCGAGUCUCCGACUAAACUAACAUUCCCACGCCAACACUCAGCAGCGCCUCUGGUUUUUGGCAGAUUUUUUCCCCUAGCUGUCAAAGGGAAAAUAUAG